CGAGGGUGCAAGCGUUAAUCGGAAUUACUGGGCGUAAAGCGAGUGUAGGCGGCUACUUAAGUCGGAUGUGAAAUCCCCGGGCUCAACCUGGGAAUUGCAUUCGAUACUGGGUAGCUAGAGUUUGGUAGAGGUAAGUGGAAUUCCGGGUGUAGCGGUGAAAUGCGUAGAUAUCCGGAGGAACAUCAGUGGCGAAGGCGGCUUACUGGACCAAAACUGACGCUGAGGCUCGAAAGCGUGGGGAGCAAACAGGAUUAGAUACCCGAGUAGUCC
Molecule: ribosomal RNA, 270 nt
Filed under: uncultured archaeon
Lineage: Archaea
Description: partial 16S ribosomal RNA
Rfam family: Bacterial small subunit ribosomal RNA
Source: RNAcentral